RNAcentral lists this ribosomal RNA (1393 nucleotides) under Enterococcus durans. RNAcentral's name for it is "bacterial SSU rRNA". It matches the Rfam family "Bacterial small subunit ribosomal RNA", at positions 68 to 1434 of the family's 1533-position model. Lineage: Bacteria; Bacillati; Bacillota; Bacilli; Lactobacillales; Enterococcaceae. The record is from RNAcentral.
GCUUCUUUUUCACCGGAGCUUGCUCCACCGGAAAAAGAAGAGUGGCGAACGGGUGAGUAACACGUGGGUAACCUGCCCAUCAGAAGGGGAUAACACUUGGAAACAGGUGCUAAUACCGUAUAACAAUCGAAACCGCAUGGUUUUGAUUUGAAAGGCGCUUUCGGGUGUCGCUGAUGGAUGGACCCGCGGUGCAUUAGCUAGUUGGUGAGGUAACGGCUCACCAAGGCCACGAUGCAUAGCCGACCUGAGAGGGUGAUCGGCCACAUUGGGACUGAGACACGGCCCAAACUCCUACGGGAGGCAGCAGUAGGGAAUCUUCGGCAAUGGACGAAAGUCUGACCGAGCAACGCCGCGUGAGUGAAGAAGGUUUUCGGAUCGUAAAACUCUGUUGUUAGAGAAGAACAAGGAUGAGAGUAACUGUUCAUCCCUUGACGGUAUCUAACCAGAAAGCCACGGCUAACUACGUGCCAGCAGCCGCGGUAAUACGUAGGUGGCAAGCGUUGUCCGGAUUUAUUGGGCGUAAAGCGAGCGCAGGCGGUUUCUUAAGUCUGAUGUGAAAGCCCCCGGCUCAACCGGGGAGGGUCAUUGGAAACUGGGAGACUUGAGUGCAGAAGAGGAGAGUGGAAUUCCAUGUGUAGCGGUGAAAUGCGUAGAUAUAUGGAGGAACACCAGUGGCGAAGGCGGCUCUCUGGUCUGUAACUGACGCUGAGGCUCGAAAGCGUGGGGAGCAAACAGGAUUAGAUACCCUGGUAGUCCACGCCGUAAACGAUGAGUGCUAAGUGUUGGAGGGUUUCCGCCCUUCAGUGCUGCAGCUAACGCAUUAAGCACUCCGCCUGGGGAGUACGACCGCAAGGUUGAAACUCAAAGGAAUUGACGGGGGCCCGCACAAGCGGUGGAGCAUGUGGUUUAAUUCGAAGCAACGCGAAGAACCUUACCAGGUCUUGACAUCCUUUGACCACUCUAGAGAUAGAGCUUCCCCUUCGGGGGCAAAGUGACAGGUGGUGCAUGGUUGUCGUCAGCUCGUGUCGUGAGAUGUUGGGUUAAGUCCCGCAACGAGCGCAACCCUUAUUGUUAGUUGCCAUCAUUCAGUUGGGCACUCUAGCAAGACUGCCGGUGACAAACCGGAGGAAGGUGGGGAUGACGUCAAAUCAUCAUGCCCCUUAUGACCUGGGCUACACACGUGCUACAAUGGGAAGUACAACGAGUCGCGAAGUCGCGAGGCUAAGCUAAUCUCUUAAAGCUUCUCUCAGUUCGGAUUGUAGGCUGCAACUCGCCUACAUGAAGCCGGAAUCGCUAGUAAUCGCGGAUCAGCACGCCGCGGUGAAUACGUUCCCGGGCCUUGUACACACCGCCCGUCACACCACGAGAGUUUGUAACACCCGAAGUCGGUGAG